GCAAAUGCGAUGAUGGAACAAAGAUACUGAAGGUCUUCAGAGAGCCGGCGGGUGGUGCAAGCCGGUGGCGGACAGCUGUCUUUAGCGCUCCUGAGAUAUUGUGUCGAAACUAACAGUAGGCACAAUCGGGUCACUCCGUUACCAGUGUUCCUGUCUUGAUCGGCAGGAUAAUGAGGCUGCAUCUGUAAUGGAUGCGGUGAAUUAGGGUGGUACCACGACAACUCUCGUCCCUUAC
RNAcentral lists this non-coding RNA (235 nucleotides) under Paenibacillus stellifer. RNAcentral describes it as "T-box sequence". It matches the Rfam family "T-box leader". From Rfam's summary of the family: Uncharged tRNA acts as the effector for transcription antitermination of genes in the T-box leader family. T-boxes are found upstream of many aminoacyl-tRNA synthetase genes and some amino acid biosynthetic genes usually in Gram-positive bacteria. The record is from RNAcentral. Lineage: Bacteria; Bacillati; Bacillota; Bacilli; Caryophanales; Paenibacillaceae.